Molecule: RNA transcript, 1577 nt
Organism: Daucus carota subsp. sativus
Lineage: Eukaryota; Viridiplantae; Streptophyta; Magnoliopsida; Apiales; Apiaceae
Exons: 5
Source: RefSeq, a predicted model, not a curated record
UGGAGAACCAUCACUUUGGUAUCUAUUAGUAUUAUUUGGGUUUCUACUCAAUGAUCCAGAAUUGACGUGGGCUAUGUCUGAGUGCAGAUAUACAGAGGAAAACCACAAGGCCGCAGUGGUCAAAUUCCAGCGUUCGGGAACUGGGAUCAAGUCAAGGAGCUUCCCAUCACUCAAUAUUUCGAAAAUGCUAGACAAGCAGGCUUAAAACCUAGUCAUUCCCGUGAAUUUGGUGAUCAUUAUGUUGCUGCGCCAAGUAGGAAUCACCCUCCUCAUCUUCCUUACACAAAGCCAAACUCAGCUACUCAACCGAGCGCUUAUGUACAGAAGGGGAAUCCUACCAUCAAGACCUAUUCACAUUUUCUGGCACAUGAGAAGAAAUCAGAGAAGAAUUCUUACAAGGGUAGACAGAAGAGGCCUAAUCAGCUUCAGACCCAAAAUAUAUCCAGUGCUGUUGUUUCUGUUUCUCACCGCAGAAUUCCACCCAUCACUAAACCUGUGGACGAAGAUUUGUAUCAAGUUCCUUCCGAAGCCCUACAAAAUUCCAAGAGAAAGAAGUUGUUUGGAUUCUUUUCAAGAUGUUUUAUGCCACAUACGAGAUAGUUUAUAUUUUAGAAGAUGCAGGUGCUUCUGAAGCGAGCCCUACAAAACAGGAUUCCAAGGCUAACUGAAUUUUCCCAAAGGACAUCCAGUAGUAUAUUACAAUCUUAAAGGAAUGAAAGAAAUCUUUACAGCUAGUCUAAGUUGCUCUAGCAUUGGUUAAAAUGUAGAAUGUAGAAUUGCAAAAAUGCAAUACAGUUAUACGUGUAUAACAACAUCUGAUGAUUGGAAAGCAAAAACCUCUUUAGUUAUACAGCGGCAGGCAAUCUGGGAGUAUUGACAUUCGACCCCAUAGGUAAUAAAAUUCGACUUCUUACCAGGGAAUGCAGUAUCUUUCCCUAUUCAUUAUUGUCCAAACAAACGAACUCUGGAUUUGAUCUCGGUAAAAGCUAAAUAGGAAGAAUCAUUCUGGAAACCGUUCAAGACUAUGCCUUGGUUGGAACUCCCUUUUGAAGACCCAAGAACAGACCCAGAUUAUAAGAAGUUGAAGCGGAUAUUCCAGUAUUCCAGACUAACGUAUCGUCAAUAUCAGGAUAAGUAGCCAGUCUUGUGAUUUUUGGACCUGGUGGCGAAUUUAUUGAUCCCUUUGGGGCCAAAAUUGUGAACUUAUUUGGGUUUCAAGAAUACCAUUCACCUGUGCACAAAUUGUAAAAUUAGAGAUUGAGAAAACAAAGGAUAUGAGAUUGUAGAUGCUAUGGAAUCAAAACACGGUGUUUACAGGAUAUGAUGGGUCCAAGGUGUCAUUCUCUCAACUUUACAGGAAAAGAGUGAUAGUAUUUCUGGAGAGGUAUAGGUUAGAGUUAGACUCAGCAGAUAUCGGUUCCUUAAGAUGUUAAAGAAAAUGUAUCUCCAAUGGAAGGGUACAAGUGGAGAGUUUGAAGUUAUUCACAUAGUUGAAAGAGAGGAAUCAUCAUCAGCCCCAAAAAAGUUAGUGGACUUAUUUAUGUGUCCUAGUUAUUAGUCCCAAUGAUUUAGGACAU